GCUGGGCAUGGUGGUGUGUGACUGUAAUCCCAAAUACUUAGGAGGCUGAGGCAGGAGAAUCGCUUGAACCUGGGAGGCAUAGGCUGCAGUGAGCCGAGAUCCUGCCACUGCACUCCAGCCUGGGUGACAGAGCGAGACCCUGUCUCAA
Molecule: unclassified non-coding RNA, 148 nt
Organism: Callithrix jacchus (white-tufted-ear marmoset)
Lineage: Eukaryota; Metazoa; Chordata; Mammalia; Primates; Cebidae
Rfam family: Metazoan signal recognition particle RNA
About the family: The signal recognition particle (SRP) is a universally conserved ribonucleoprotein.
Source: Ensembl